Molecule: long non-coding RNA, 36475 nt
Filed under: Hordeum vulgare
Lineage: Eukaryota; Viridiplantae; Streptophyta; Magnoliopsida; Poales; Poaceae
Description: long non-coding RNA (HVUL_LNC007959)
Source: RNAcentral
AGGCGGGCGGCGGUGAUGACAUGAUCGAACCAGAGUCUUGUGAUACCAAACUGGUAGAAACUAUGAUUCUAUCGGCCAUAUGCCUUAGGUUACAAGGGUACGUGGGAGGUUGGAGGAGACAAGGGCGUCGCGGCCGGCGCGAAGGCGCCGUCUCGGCACAGGGAGGAGGCGACGGCGAGUAGAGAAGGCGGUGGUAGGGUUAGGGUUCCGGCUUCUUUGGGAGCGGGCAAUAGAAUUGUCUUAUUGCUUAAUUUUAAAAGGUGUCUUACAACUUAUUUAUAUAAGCUCUAAGAUAAUAGAAAUAAGGAAAGUUGGGCUAAGCCCCUAACUUAACUAAGAUAACUUGGGCUAAGCCCUUAACUAAACGGGUCCAUUGAACCUUCUCCGGCUAUAAGUCACGCCGGUCAUAACAGUAACCUGAAAAUACAAACAUAUGAAAGGACAGUCCACCAAAUUACAUAAUUACUAUGCCCUUUAUAGACCAGACCACACACACAAUCACAAUACGAAGGCACGAAACAAGCUGAUUGACAAGCCAUGAACUACAAAGAUAGUGGCUACAUGGCGUAUUAAAGAGACGAGUGAUGAAGGACGUGCUACAACUACAAGGAAGCGAUUAACAUGAGCAUGUAGAACAGCGUAGCUAGUCAUGCUGAAAGAACUGAAGAUAUAUAAGAACUUCUCGAUCGAGGAACACGCACGCAAGCAAGAUGUGCAGAUCAAGAACCAAAGCCAGAGCUACACAUCUGUGGUUUUCCCUUGGAACUUGCCCCCGUCAUCUCCAGCGCCUCCCUGCUUGCCUUGGCUGCUCUUCUUGGCCCUGACGAAGCAGAAGCAUGCGCAGCAGGGGCACCGGAACAGGAGCUUCAUACCGAUGAUCCGUCGCCGAUGAUGAACUUAGCAACCGGCAGAUCGAAGCUUGGGCGAUCUCCCUCACGCACUCACCCAAGCAAAAUUAUGAAUGUGGAUGUAUGGAUGAUGGAUCUGAUCUGCCUCUCUCAGACUCACUUGCAGACUGACACUAAACAUAUAUAUAGCUGCCUUUGAGCCUUGGCACUCACACGCUCCGGCAGCUGCUGCCUUGAGCCUUGGCACACACCACACACUCUCUGAUCGAUCUGACUCCAUUUUAAAUGGACGCGAAUGGAUCCUGCCCAUGUGCCCCUUUUUUUCCUCCGUGGAAGAAGAUGGCCCAGUCAUAGACGACAGACAGUAGUACACUGGUACACUUGUUGGUUAGGCUAUAUGUAGCCGCAUAGCCCAUGCUUGAACAUUCAUAUGUUCCUGUGUAGCAUUCCCUGACUUUUCUAUGUAGGUCACUGCUGGGCAACAUGAGCUAGCUAGCUAGCUGGCUUCUUUUCGUGAGUAGACAGCACAUACGUUAAACAAGAUGUCUUGCUAGUUACUACUACUAGUCAUCAGUUAAUUAGUGGUAAGUGUGCAUUAGUAUAAGCUAAGGUAUCUGCCGUGCAUGUUGCUACAUGUGCCAUGCAUGCAUGCCUGUCUCUAGCUAUGGCCUUGAUCAAGCAAAAUCAAGGCAGGCAGGAGACUGUGCGAAUAUAUAAUCAAGGAGAGAGAGGGUGAUUGCUGAAAGCAAAGCAGACAUGCCAAUUGCAAAGCAGUAGAACUGCAUGUUGCCGGCCAAAAGGCUAUAUGUGCGCAUCACAUGGAUAACUAACUAUUGCACCGAGGCUGACAGACAGUGUGACCGGCCCUGUGUUACUCAGGCCGAAAUCACUGAUUUUAACUUUUCAAAAAUCUUUAUCACAAACUAAACUUGUCCUGUGAGUAUUUCACGAUCUAACCCUUUUAACAACGUCAUAGUCCGUGACAUUAAUACCCAACAUAUAAACGCCGAGAUAGAUAGCGUUUCUACCCUUGCCUACUGCAAGGCCGAGCACAAAUACGUGACAACAAUGACGGAGCUAUGUGUAUAGCUGAGGGGGUUGUGCCCCCCCCCCCAACCCAAAAUCCCCGAAGAAAAGAAAUUUAGGGAGACAUAAUUAAAACAAAGUAUUAUUAUUAGCCCCUCAAAACAUGUAUCAUUUGAUGAUGUUAGCCCCCCCUACCCCUCCCGACAUCACACUCAAGCUCCGCCACUGCGUGAUAGGCCAGAAACAUCGAGCUAGACCCUGUUUCUAGAAGCGUCACUGAUGCUGGCGUUUCUGUGCAGGGCGGCAGGGACGAAUACAUGCACGCCGGGGGGGGGGGGAAUCUGUCCAUGAAGGGGGCAAAUCUCACGUGAAGUGAAUUUUUUUGGCUACAACAAUCACAACCAUAGUAGAAGAAUCAAUUUGUUACCGGGGGUCUAGCCCCCCGCCCCCUAAAUUCGACCCUGCAGGGUAACAAUGUCAAAGGCCUUGGCUUUUCCAAACAACGUAAAAAAACGACAAGGCCUUUGGUGUUGUUGUCCUGCAUAUAAACGCGAGGGGCAGUGACAUUUUUCAGAAACGACACCUAUCUCGGUGUUUCUGGCCUGUCACGUAAGUCUGCUCGGCCUGACAGUGCGUAAGAACGCUAUCUGGCUCGGUGUUUCUAUGUUGACAGUAACGACCGCGGGCUAUGACGUUGUUAAAAAAAUCAUAUCUAACAUGUUAGCUAUAAGAUGGGCUAUAGGUGAUAUGACAGCCGGCUCUAAUAUUGUACUUGCUCUAAUUAAUCCGCAGCUUCUACAAAAGCGCCGCUGCCUGCUGCAUGCAGUAGUACAAGAAUGCAGUGACAAUGAGCUAGUGUAUAGUGCAGCUACUUCAUAACAGAUACUAGUAGUAGCUUAGGCCUUGUUUUUUUUUAGGUUCUAGGAGUUUUUUAGUCCCAACUAAAAAGUUACUAGUCUCUAUCCGUUUCUUUCCAGGGACUAAGGCCACGCUUGGGUCAAGGGACUUAUUUUAGUCUGACUAAAAAUAGUCUCUUUAAAAGGCUAUAGUUCCAAACACCCCUGACUAAAGAGGGUUAAAACUAGUCUUGAGACUAAUUUUUUUUAGUCAGUGGAUAUCCUACUAAAAUAUGGAUUAGUCAUCUCUCUCCUCAUUUAACUCCUCUCAUUUAACACAGAGGCCAAUAAGUUGGCGGGAGGGACAACUAGGAUUAGGAGAGAGGGAGGAUAAUAAAUGCUCAUUAACUUGAUUUUAGUCUCUUAAGUAUUUGGAUCCAAUCAUGGGUGAGGCUAGCAAGUUUUAGUCACACUACUUUUAGUCACGGGACUAAAACGUAUCCAAGCAUGACCUAAAUAAGGAUUAGAGAUCAUUAAAUGAGAUGUAAAAAGACCAUGUUACCCCUAGUAAUGUACUAGAAGUUAUUAAAUGACAUACUAAAAGUAGAGUCACUAUUAAAAAAGUGUCAAAAAUGUUCCAAAAAUACCCACCAUAUGGACUUCUUUCUUUAGUCCCAAAUACCUUUUUAGUCCCUAGAAGUCCCUCAUGUUUCUUUUACAUGGGACUAAAAGGGACUUUUUUUAGUCCCUACAGCAAAAAGUCUGUGUAAAGAAACACACCCUUAGAGGGUGCUUGGAUUCAAGGGAUUUAUUUUAGUCUGACUAAAAAUAGUCUCUUUAAAAGUUUAAAGUUCCAAGCCCCCCUGAUUAAAGAGAGGCUAAAACUAGUCUUGAGACUACAAAAAUUUAGUCAGGGAUACCCCUACUAAAAUGUAGAUUAGUCAUUUCUCUCCUCAUUUAACUCCUCUCCUUUAACACAGGCGGGUUCUUGAUUGGAGGGUUUGGAUGAUAAUAAAUGCUCAUUGACUUGAUUUUAGUCUCUUUAGUACUCCCUCCGUCACGGUUUAGAAGACACGCUUGGAAAAUCUCUGGGACCAAGGUAGUCAUCGAUUGGUUGUGAGAUGUAGCAGGUGUAGAUGCUAAUGCGCCUAAUCAAUUGAGAAAAUACUAGUACUAAUGCGUGAGCAGCAAAUUGGGAGGGCGCAUCCAUGAGUAGUACUACCAGUACUAAUUAAUAGGGGUAAUUGCUUUCGCGUUUUAAACCUUGCCUAUUUUGAAAACGCACGCAAGUUUAACUAUGCUUUUCAAACCGUGACGGAGGGAGUAUUUGGAUCCAAGUAUGAAUGAGGAUUACAAGUUUUAGUCUCACUACUUUUAAUCAUAGGACUAAAACGUAUCCAAACACCCUCUUAAUCUUCAUGCGUUUUGCGCAUUAAAUUGCGCCUGCGGACGAUCGAUCAACAACCAGGCACGCAGGCAGGCGGACAAGGAGCUGGUCCUGAAGUGCCGUGCAAAUGUUUUGCAUGCCCAGCUCGCCGAUCGGUAGCUAGCUAGCUAGCGGUCAAUCAAUCUAUCAAUAGGCCGGUCGUGCAUGCGGUUCGAUGCGCAUGCAUGCGUAUACUACUCCCACUUCCACUCCCACUGUAGUACUGUAUGAUCCAUGAACCAUGAUGGACGGGACGUUGCAACCACCGUCCAGUUGCGGUCGAUCGCGGUAGAAUGACCCGAACCGGAUGGAGGGAAGAAGAACAGCACGCUAGCACAUGGCCAGCCAGCCUUGCCGCCACGCACGGCCCACUCCGACCCCCGUGGCGCGCGCGUACGGUCGUGCAGACGUGCAGCGCGCGCGCGUCCGUCCAGCCCGUGUCCCCCGCGCGCAUGCGGUGCACCUCGCAGCGCAAGCAACGAAUACGUUUGCCACGGAUCUGGUCUCAUCUCGCUCACAUGAUUGAUUGAUCGGUUACAAGCGGUUGGUUGCCUCGUCUAUACGGUACGUACGUACGUGCACAUGCAUCUUGAUCAGCUACUGAUUGAUCCAGUACGUAAUAUUCCUAUUCGUAUGCUUAUGAUGAUGUUGGAGGGUCGAGGAAUAUUAUUGUUGUUGCCGCAUUGUCAACGUACUACGAAUGAACGAGAGAGGAUGAUGACGACGGUGAUGACCCGCAAAAAAUUGAGAUGAUGAUGAUGUUACGGGAGGUGUGUGGCCUGUAAUUAGGCGGCCAACAAUGAUGAUAAGAUGUUAUGCCACGGCCAGACGUGUCGCCUAAUUAAGCAAACCAACGAUUUCAUGCGUGGUGCAAUUUCCUUUCAUCAUCCCUCAUCUACUUGCCGGAAAUUCUGGAUAGGAAGCCAAGCGCCCGAGCCGUGAUCGUGGCAGCUGGAGCCCCUCGCCACCUUCCAAACUUUAUGACAACCAGAACCAGAGAUGUACUUUGGCGCCCAAGUUACCAUAUCUCUUUGACUCGUUAGCAAAGUGAAUAGAAAUGUACUCCUUCGGUACCAAAUUACUUAUCCCAUAGAUAAAUAAAGAUAAAUACAUCUAGAGCUAAAAAACAUCUAUAGACAUUUAACUUUAUAAAAAUACUUCCGGACAAAAAGAGUCGAAAAUAUAAAAUAUGUUUGUGGUGACCUUCAUCCAUUUGAUUCCAGAGAAAAAGUGUGAGCUAAAAAAAUGCCUCAUUGUUACACUGGAUUCUACAGAGACAUUAACACAAAACUCAUAUAAAUUGAAUGGCAUUGCUACGUAGAAUCCGAAAAUGUUUUUCUGAACCAUGGUUCAGCCGAACCUACACUCGACACCAUUGAUCUCUGAACACUGUUCAUCAAGAUAUGCGUAUGGUUUAAUUAAAAAAAUGCAUGGUGAAAGAUGUUUGCAAGUUGAACAAUGCAUGACACAAAGUGUUGGAUGAAGUUGACAUGCAUGACAAGGAUCCACAUGUAAAAAUAUAUUGAAUCGUACGACGUGGAAUAUAAGCUCGGCUGAACCAUGAUCUCGAAUCACGCCUCUCCAUAGAAUCAUACAUUAACCGAGAAACAAUUGCCAAGUAUUGCCAAGAGAAACUCUGAGCAUUUAUUUUUUAAUUGCAUGCAAAGUGGUACACUGGAAAAAAACUUUAGUAUCGAAUCCUAUGAGACCAUAACUUCCCAAAGUCGGUGACUAGCAUUGCGAUAUACUCUAUAAUGAUAAUCAGUAUUUAACUAUAUAACCAUCUUUGCUCUGUAAUUUAGUUCACUUGUCUAUUUGCCAUUGUGGUGAAAAAAAUAUAGUCUCACUUGUCUAUUUUUGUAUUUCUAUUUUAGUGUUCUUUAAGUUCAAUUGCCAAAUUUUGUGCCUACUCUCUUGGCAUCACAAAUAAGUGACGUUAGGGAUUUAGAUUUAGAACCUCCAGGGUACCCUACAGCUCUGUUUAGUUCGACUGAAUGAACUAACUUUUCAGAAUUAGCUCACUUUUGAAAAAAAAUAGUUAUUUUGGUUGAAUUAAAAACGGUCGAAGGAUACCCUUUAGGUUCCAAAUUUGCAUCCCUAAGUGACGUUUUUCAUGGUCUUAAAGAGUGUAACUUUGACCACUAUUUUCUUACAUAUUCAAACUGUCCACACGAACAAAUGUAGAUGGUUUGAGGAGUGCCCUUUGAGAUGCGCUUAUGUGUGAUACAGGAAGGAUCAAUAAUUUCAGAAAUAAGCAUAGUAACACAUAACUCAAUAACCGCAAAAUCGAGUCUUUUUUAGCACGAUACAAAUUGAUGAAGUCACGAAAUGCCACUUAGUAGUCGACGAAAACGCCCCUCCCACAUGAAUGAACAUAGCCGGAAACACCUAAAAUAAAUCAAAAAAAAAUAAUACAAAUAUCAAUGUACAAAUUAGGACUUUGAACCCUGAUGAGUUGGUUCUAGACCUGUGCAUGGACAACUUGGCCCGAAGGCCUGAGCCCUGCAUCCGGGCCUAACUCGGGCUCCAUUUUUUGGCCCGAAAGCUCGAAAUGACUAUAAAUGUGUAUUUUAUUUGAAAUAUAGGUAUAUCUUAUUAGUUUAAUAUCCCAAAUAUUACCAUUUCAAUUAGAAAUGUAAUUGUUCAUGUGUUUUGGGCCGGGCAAAGGCCUGGCCUUAGGAUAUUUCGGGCUUUGAUAAGCUCGACAUGAAUGAGGUCCGGUUCGGUGAAUGAUCAGGUUUAGUUGGUUUUCACAUAAAAUCUGACCAUAUUAGUUAGGCUUAAUUCGCCGCAAAAUAACUUCAGUUGGUGCUAUCGUAUGUAGCAUUGAAACUUUGGAUCGGAGUAUCUACUUCCGAGCUCAUAUACUCCUUAAAAUGAAAAAAAUGAAAAAAUUCUGGAUUUUUUAUACAAGCUUUGACAAAUAUUCUCAUUUGUUGGUAAUUUCCAUCCCAAAAAAACAUUCAUGGAAGUUACGGUAAAAAAUUAAAAUGUUAUUUUCGAAAGCAUUUUGAAGUAUUAUUUUUGUUAUUUUGCCACGGCUUGCACACAUAUUAUUUCGGGACGUAAGUUUGUAAGCACCGAGAACAUUUAUCAGAGUGUGCACCAAAAAAAUCAGAACUGUUUUUUUGUUUGUUUAUGGAGUGUACUGUUCAUCAAGCUCAAAUGAGCUCGAGGGUAGAAAGGUACAUUAAUGAAAUUUUCUUUUUCAGAUCACUGAAACUUCUCUUGGUAACCACGGGUGUGAUCCUCCACGAGCCACCGAGUUCCAAACAUCGACCUUUGCUCUUCCUCUCCGGUACGCCAUGGAGCCCGCUUUCUUGAGUCCGUUACUUUUGUGCCCCCACGCAGCAAUCCUGACGUGGAUGGAUGCCGAUAUUCUGCAGCCACCGUUCACCCGCGGAUCCGCUGCGCUCGAGUCCCCCGCGGAGGCGGCGUCCCGUCCGUCAGAUCAGGCAGAUCGACGGUGGCGGUGGGGCGAAAGGGAACGUCCCGCCGCGCAGCGGAUGGAUCGGGUUCACGCAGCAAGCGGCGCCAGCACGCACCGAGAACAUCGCUCUCCGCCCCCACCGGGCAGAGGUGUGGAAAACCAGACUGGAAAUUCGCUUCCACGAUUUGUUGCACCCCGUUUCACUUGCAUGAUGCCCCCUGAUCUUUCAUGGUAUUUGUUUGUUAGUUUUCUUGCACUAUUUUUUUAGCACAGUACAAAUACAAAUGAAUAUAUAUACACACGCAUACACUCACCCAUAUGAAUGCGCACACACAUACCCUAUCCCUAUGAACACAUUUGAAAGACCGAACUGACAUAUCAUUUUGAGAUUUACGAAGUCAUCGUAGGUGUCUCGUCGUCGACAGAAGCGUCUUCUACUACUAAAAACAUAUUGCCGAAAUCCUGAAAUAAAUCCAGAAAUAAAGGACUUGAACCCUGAUGAGACGAUGUUAUCACUAUUCCUAUAACCAUACAAUCAGAUGUUGGUUUACUCCUUGUACUAUUCGAUUGUAGAAUGUCCGUGCUUUGUUUUUUAUUGUGUAUAUCACAUGGAUGCACCCGAUAGGAAAAAAAAAGGCUAGGAUCUUUCUGAAGGGGGGUAAUUCCUAUGUUCCUACACAGAGGGAGCACAGCUAGUGAAAAGAAACAUUGUCAAGGCACAAUGUAAACUUGGUACAUAUUUGCAUAUUUGAAAAUCAUACACAUGCAAUGCACUCAAAUUGCACUCUUUUCUUUGCAGGUAUUAAUGCUUUUUUUGUGGGUACAUGGAAAUUGGACUUGAUUUUUUGAUAGAAAAAGAUGUUUGAUGUGUUUGCUCGGGCCGACUUUUCCAUUAUGCGCCAGAUCUAGUUUAUUUAGGUCAAGGCGUUCGAUGAUUCAAACAUGUCUUUUUUUAGGAACCGACAGGAGUACUGCCUUUACUUUAUAGAAAGGAGAGGCGACACGUAAUGUACAAGUAUGCAUACGUUUUUGAUGGGAUUACGCAGCCAAACUCGAGGAACAAACACGCAAAAACUGGCUCAGCCGAUGCCCGAAGGGGGCAUGGCCCGACGAACGCCAGCUCCCGUUGAUUGAUGUCCUCGAAGGCUAGCAUAGCCACCUCGCGAUAGGUCAUGCAACAACAUGUGAAGACACGUUUAUUCCUUUCUUUCCAUAGGUCCCAAAAGGUAUAGAUGAGUCUGUCGCUACGCUGUCUUCGCACUUCUCUUAACUCAACCGCAAGCAUGCUCUCCCACCAUUCCGACAUUGCUCCACGUUUCGACAAACAUAUUGCCAUUGGAAUGUUGUCAUUGGUCCAAAAGAUCACAUGGUUCCAGGCCACAACAGAGAAGGGCAAUCUUUGCACUUGUGGGUUGCUGUUUUCGGCUCCUGAAGGCAUAGCAGGCAUCUCGGGUCGUGCGGCCAUUCACGCAUGACGAGCAUGUCCGCCUUCAGGAUUCUGCCAUGGAGAACAAGCCAUGCAAAGAAUUUGCAUUUAGGCUCAGCGGGCGGUCCACGCCUUGGACGUAUCGAAUCUCGGGUGUGAGCCAUGGAACCGUGCUGCGUACACCGAGGCCGAAAGUAUGCUCCGUUACUGGUAAGGUUCCAAACAAUGGAAUCCUCCUGGUCGGGAGAGAGCUGAACCUGGCUGAUUCAAGUCGAUAAGGACACAUAUUCACUCAGCUGUUGCACUGUAUGCACCCUUGAUAUUGCUUUGAUCCAGUUGUCAUUUGAAAGCUCAUGUUGCACCGUCCUAUUCUUACUGAGGCGAUCUUGAAGAGUUCUGACGCGAGAGAGACGAGCGGUCCCCUACCAGUCCAGUUGUCAUGCCAAGACAACACCUUAGAGCCAUUACCCAAAGUGAUGGUGAUACAAGCCCGAAAUAGGUCCAUGUCAGUUUGGUCACAAAUAAGUUGGGUUCCCACCCAUGGUCGUUCUUGGUCCGUCCAUUUAGGAUCAAGGUGUUUUUCCAUAAAAAGGUGAAGGUGUUUCUCAUCUCGUGCUUCAGUCAUGUUCCUCUUAUUUUGACUACGUCUUCCUUUCUACAUUUAUGCAUGCAAUCAAGGCCCUCAUUUGCUAUUGAUUGCGUGCCCUCCUUUCAUGCUCAACUCCACUUUAACCUCCACAGAAGGUCUUAUUCAGGAUUCUUGGGCUAGGCAGGUAAUUGGAGAGACGUGGAGUUCGAAGCUUUCUCCAUGUCUUUUACCCAUUUUAAGGGGCAUGUGUUUGUUAUCGAAUACUUUGGCAUGUCUUCAACCUCCUCGUAACUUCUUCAUGGAUAAAAAGGGAACUCUUUUCAAGUGGCAUCUCUUUACCUUGCUGGUGAAGGUCGGCACAUGUUUCUUGUUGUUGCCGUGCUUGGUACCGAUCAACGACGGACAUAGCUCCUCAUCUAUUUUCGACCCAUGUGUGUUGACGUGACAUCCUCACAUGUCACUCAAGGACACGUGGAUGUUUCCUCAAGGACGAUUCUACACGUGUGUAAUGAUGAUUGGUGAACCUACGUGUAACGGUGGAGCGAGUCGACCAUACCUUUUCUACAACAAUCCAUUGAUUUUCUAAAUUACAUGUAUCACUCCUUACAACUUGAGAAGAUUGACCCCACAAAGUUUUCGUGCUGGCACGACCAUCCCACAUGAGCAUAUACUUGAACUAUUGUAUUCAUUUUGCCUUUUCAUUUUGAAAUACAGAGUAUAAUAUUUCACGAGGUGCGUUUGGCCUCACUUAGAAUUUCAAUAUUUACCAAAAAAAAGCAAUCACACGCGACUAUAUAGCAUCUCAAAUUAUAAACUCACCGUUGAAGAUCACCCAAAACAUUCAAAAUUACCUUGUAAAAGUGUACUCCCUCUGUAAACUAAUAUGCGCAGCUGCUGAAAAUGACGAAAAACGAGGGGCCAAACUGCGAGAAGGCAAAAAACCGAAAAACUCCAACCGGAAUCGCGAGCGUACUCUGCCCCACUACUACCUUCCACCACUUGCCGCCCCUGCCCCCGCCUCGCCAUCUCCGCGUCGUGCUGCCGCGCGGCCUCCCCCCCGCACCGCGCUCUCCCGGCGGCCCAGAUCCCUCCCCGCUCCGGCGAGCCCGCCAUGGACCGUCUGCGGGCGGGGAGCCCCGUCUACGGGCGGCAGCGCAGUGGGAGCAGCACGGGCUCCACCUCCCCGGGCGGCGUCUCCCCCUCGCACCACCGCUCCUCCUCCACCUCCUCCGCGGCCUCCCUCCCUGGCGCCGUCGCCGGCGUCGGGGGCAUAUCCAACGUCCGCCGCACGCAGAACGUCGCCGCGCGCGCCGCGGCCGCCAGGCUCGCGCAGGUCAUGGCCUCCCAGAGCGCCGCCGCGGCCGCCGGGGACGACGACGACGACGACGACUACGCCAACGACCACCCGCCCCCGCCCCCCGCCAGGUUCGGCAGCGGCGCCCGCUCCGGCCACGGCAGCAACGGCGUCUCACUGCUCGGCCGCACCGCGAGAUCUCCCUCCCCUGCGGUAAUUCUGCUCCCCCGGAUCUCCCGCUGGCCCCUCUCGAGGCCGCGUCCCUGCUUCGGAUUCGGCUGUUUCGAGCUCGAGCUAUGGGCGAAUUUAGUCAUAGCUGGUCAAAUCGCGGUCAAAUCGGUGUCAGAGCAUGCGUCAUUAGUUGAAUUUGCGAAUGAAGCUAGUUCCCAUUUGCUAAUGCCAAGCGUAUUUUUAGUCCCUUUUCAUCGGGACUGUGUUUGGGAGCCGAUGAUCGAUAAGGAAUUUUGAAUUGGUUGUGUCUGAUCUGCUCAAUUUGCUUGCUCCGUGUUCUUCUGCUAAUUUGAUAUCCUCAUGUUUUCAUUAGUUAGGUCGGAACAUUGUAGAGCCGCCUCCUACAGUCCGCUCAGCAUCAGCCGGAAGGACAGCCGCCAUUGCAGCACGACCGACCGCCACAGUGGUUCCACCAAUCAAAACCAACACUACCAUCAGAACCCCGUCUCCUAUCCCACCUGUGGCUGUGGAGUCCCCAGUGGAGCGCCCUCGACAGAAAAGGUACAUGCAGUGACAUACCCCCAGAUCUGCACAACGUACAUGUAUGCUGGAGCUUCUACAUAAUGAACGCAUGAUACUAGUGUGCGCCCGAGCAAUAGUUAGUGCAUUUUACUUCCUGCGCCACUUAUUAGAAUAAGUGGUGAUACUAGCUUACUGAAUUAGUCAACUCUUCCUAUGGGCUUAAUUUGACUGGACCUGUCAUUAGGUCUUUUUACAUGUUGUAGUUAAUGAAAUUCUGGUAAGGAUAAUAUUUAUUUAACUUUACCCAGCAUGAUGAUGUGUCAAUGUAGCAUUAACAUAUGAUCCAACCCUUAUGUGCCUGAUAAUCAACAGGUAAACAUGGACUGGACAUACUAUUAACCUCUGGACUGUUAUUUGUAAAGGAUGUUAUUGGUCAUUGCCACAUCAGUAUCAUAAGUUGGAACAUCUUCGAGAGCUUCUGAUCUUCUACCUAAUAAAUUGAAGCAUUGAGUCCAGUUGUGCAUGCAUACUAGCCUACUAGAUGCUGCAGCGGUUACUGAUGUGACUGAAAUGUUAAAAUAUCUCGUCUAAAUUGUGAAUCUGAUUUUAGAUUAGGCCAACAUCAUGGCUGUGUAAGUAGUAUGCCUCAUGGCCAGUAAGACAUUACUGUGCUUUGCUGACUUGUGCUGCAUAAACUAUUUAGUUGCCGGGAGUAUUACCAAUAAUAGCAACUAAUUGGUUUUGACGCCCUAAAAUUGAGGUUACCGAUUAGUUAAUACAUCCACAUGCAACACAUUAUAUUUAUUUAAAUAAUUUAGCGUCAUGUGAAACUCACUCCUACAUUUUCUAUAUGUUACCAUGGGCGCUUCAUUUCUUGUUGGAUUUGUGCAUCAUUUUUUUAAUUACCACAUUAUUAACUCUUUUUUCUAGCUUUGAGUUUCCUUGUGUGAGUAAUCUAUUUAGGCCCUGCUUGGAAUAGGUGUAAGAUUUUACACCUGUAUUUAUCUUACAAGUGUAAAUUACCCGUCAACACUUGAUUCCUGCCUGAAAUCAAAACGACGGGACAAGCUCUGUAUUCUUUACCGGUCUGAAACGAGGAGAAACGCUAAUCCAAACGCAGCCUAAGUUGCCGGGAGUAUUACCAAUUAAAGCAAAUAAUUGGUUUUGAUGCCCUAAAAUGUAGGUUACCGAUUAGUUAAUGCAUCUACAUGCAGCACAUUACAAUUUAUUUAAAUAAUACAACAUCAUGUUAAACUCACUCCUACAUUUUCUGUAUGUUACCAUGGGCACUGCAUUUCUUGUUGCAUUUGUGCAUCGAAAUUUUUGAAUUUACCACAUUAUUAACUCUUUUUUCUCUAGCUUGAGUUUCCUUGCACUCCUUCUCUAUAUAUCGUAAAGAAAAGAGCAGCAUGUAUAUGUUUUAACCUUUCCUGCUCCAGGUUUGAUACAGCCCCACUUAACUCUAGAGAAUCAGCGCCACGGAGAGAGUCAUCUACACUUCAAGAUGAGGUUUUUCUUUUUUCUAUGGAAACCACUUCAUCCGUUUCUAAGUAGAUGACGGCGUAAUUAUUUUGCACAGCAACCAAGGAACAUAUGCAAAUAUCCAUAUUUCUCACUCAAGACAUUCACUAGGACACCUAUUGCUCUCGUGGUUUAGGUUACUAGUCUGUAGUAGUAAAUGACUUCGGAAAUAACCAUUUAGACAAUGAAGAUGAGGGGCAUCCCAGGGAAAAGAGAUGGUACAAAAGGUCACAUUGAUAUCGUGCAACCUCAUGUUUCUAGGAGCAAAUGUGAAAGCUGGAAUGACAUGUUUUGGGGAACAGAGGAAAUAGUAAUUAUUUGCAGUUAUUCAUAGUUUCUGGUUUAGCUGUUAGAGUUUUUUUUUUCACUUAGAGAACUGAAUAGUUGAAGAGUGCAUAAGCUAUAUGAAGACUAAUGCACUGAUGUCUAACAGCUUGAUAUGCUACAAGAGGAGAAUGAAAGUGUUCUAGACAAGGUAAUGACAAACACCAUCAUUAUAUUGCAAUGCACUAAUCUUUUCUAUGACGGGCUUAUCUAAGCUUAUUCUGAAUCUGGAAAAACAGUUACGGCGUGCUGAAGAAAAAUGCGAGGAAGCGGAAGCUAGGGCGAAGGAGCUUGAGAAACAGGUGAAAUUAGGAUCCACUAAAAAAAAUCCCCUUAUGUGUUUUAUAUUUUGACAUGUGUACUCAUUUGUGAAACGUGUUUUUUUUUGGAAAAGGAGGUUAAACCUCCGGCCUCUGCAUCAAUCGAUGCAUGCAGCCAAAAAUCUUCUUAUGUGUUUUAUAUUUUGACAUGUGUACUCAUUUGUGAAACAUGUUUUGAGUCUAUCUGAACUAUAGUGUUCUGAAAUAUUGGAAUAAAUUGAUCCUUCUGUGUCAAGAGAAUGCAUGCGUUCCUUGCAAAAUGAGCUCUAUGCACCUUAUGUUUGCUAAUAUCAUAAUUUACUAAUAUACGAAGGUAGCUGCUCUCGGAGACGGGGUAUCCUUAGAAGCUCGCCUCUUGAGCAGGUUUGUUCCAUGCCUGAAUAUGCCAAUUUCACAAGUCCAGAACUGGGCAUAGCAUAACAUUUACAUGAAUGCUGGCAGGAAGGAAGCGGCACUUAAACAGCGGGAGGUUAGUUAUUCUUGUGUUUCACUCAUGGGUUGCUGCCAAGUCAUCUUUUCAUUCUGUUAAUUUAGCCAUGAUCUUGAUGUGUAUGGUGAAAUUGCCUCCAUAAUGUCGUCUAUUAUUCAAAUAAGAGGACAAAUCCUCUGCAGAACUCCAAUGCCAUCGUUUUCUAGCUGUUGUUUGUUGUGUCUAAAUGCACUAUCGCCAUGCUAGAUCUUUAUUCUAAAAUUUUGCCGAAUGAGUGAUCUUCUUUAUGCAUUUAAUAGUUGGAAGAGUUGACCAACACUUGAGUGAUCUUCUGUAUUUUAUUUGUAUAUAUGUGUCCAUAGGCUGCACUAAAGGCUGCAAGGGAAUCAACUGAUGGUAGAAAUGGAGAAGUAUCAACAAUAAAGCAUGAACUUGAGGCAAUGAUACUCAAUAUCCGGCAGCUUUUGUUUGUUUGUAUAUGGUCUUGGUCUUAUAUUUAACUCAUUUGUGUUCUCUCAUGCAUUAAAUAGUCUGCCAAAGAGGAGGUUGCAGCUGUUAUGGACCAGCUAAAGGAGGCAGAGUCCGAGACAAAGGCUCUCCGGUCCAUGACUCAGAGAAUGAUCUUAACCCAAGAAGAAAUGGUUGGUCUGAUUUAUGUACGAUCGUAAUCACUUCGUUUGUGCUUGACAUGGAUUUUGAUCUAUUUGCAACUUUAUGCUAGGAAGAGGUUGUCCUAAAAAGGUGCUGGCUUGCACGUUAUUGGGGCUUAGCGGUUCAAUAUGGUAAGUUGCCUAAGAAACAAUUUUAGUGGAAUAUUGUUCAACAUGAUGUCAUUGUCCACUUGCCCAGUAUGGUUUAUUCUCUAAUAAUGCUCGCUAGGCAUUUACUGAAAUCAAAGGUUAUGUGCAUUCAUGAUGUGAAUAAUCUCUGGAGAAAUGUUAUCUACUGCUCUCUCUUGAAAUGAUGUUAGCUGGCUUGGCUUCUUUUUAAACCAAAAACUGUAGGCCUUGACACUAAAAUUCUCAAUUACUGUGCAAAUCUGAUUAAAGUUGGGUAAAUUUAACCAAUGGUUGUGCUCUCACAUCUUAUCUCAUUUAUUUUGAAACACAAUUAUACCCCUCUCUAUAUCUGACGAGAAAAAGAACAGCUACCCAGACGCUCUCACAUAUCUACAAACAGCUCAACCAAAUACAAUUAUCAUGACUCAUCACAUCGCCAAUAGAGCCAUAGAUUACAAGCAAAGUCUUGAAAGCAGUACGAAUGUAUAUGAUAUCACCCUGUUACAAAAUAAAAUAAGAGAAAGUAAACUAAGGUAAUCACCAGCAGAAAGAGAACCUAAGAAGAGUAUAGAGGCAAAUAGGCAAUUUUUACAUGGAUGGGAUGCUUCCUUAGAUAGCUAGCUUCCAUGGAUAUUUAGCAGGCAUUUUGACUGUAUGGUUGAUGUUUUAGCCUUGUUAGGCUGGCCUGGUGUCCUAGAGUGUCUUUUGCACUUUGCUCCAUGGCUGACAAAAGAUUAAGUGUGACGUGGUAGGAUCGAAUAAGAGCUAAUUAGUGUGAAGACUUUGAAAUUUUGUGCUAUUUGCUUUACUAAGUGCAAAAAUGGUCAUUGAUAUUUUGUUGUUAUAGUCUGUCUGUGGAUACUAUUAAUCUGUGGUCUCAGUAGGGUAGGCGCAUUUGGUUCAGCCUCACCCCAGAUUUGAGGCUGGUUCAGGCUUUUAGACUAGUGGGGAUAAACCGGCCAAUUGCCAACCAGUCCAGGUCAGCCCAACUAUGUUUAAGGGCUGGGCCUGUGCCUAGAUUAGGGGACCAAAAUGAACAGGACCUGGCAAAGGCUUUGCCUGGAAAAUGCUCAAGUCUAGUUCACACGAGCAAGCAAGGCUAACUUUUGCAUGUACUUCUAUUCGUAUCCUGGUUUUUGGUUAUCUGAUGGCCUCCUAAUAAACUUGAAGGAGUUUAUCCCGAGAUUGCGGUGUCAAAGCAUGAACAUUGGUCAUCUUUAGCCCCUCUUCCUCUUGAGGUUGUUCUCUCUGCUGGUCAAAAGGCUAUCAAGGAGGAGCCUCGUAAGCAAGGUACGUCUGCAUUUAUAUACUGUAUAAGUUGUAGAUCCCAGUUUAUUCCAUGCACACUCCAAUGAACUAUUCUUAUAAUUCAUUCAAGCAGGUGAGGAUGAUGCUCAGAGGAGAAAUAGGCUUGUGCGAGAGAUGAGUGACGUAAUGGGAGAAGGCAACAUCGAGAGCAUGCUCUCAGUUGAAAUGGGACUUAGGGAGCUUUCAUCUUUGAAGGUAUUCGUCUUCCCUUCUUAUCAACUUAUGUUAACUUUCUAUUUUCUAGAUUUCUCAAUUGCCAAAUUGCAGAUGUACACUUGCAAACUUAAAGUGCAGGAACAAGCUUCUGCAGCAAAACCGGAGACCUAGCAUAGUUCAGCAAUUUAGUUAUUAUCAUGUAGGUGGAAGAUGCUAAGCCUAUUAUCACUGUGGUCCUCAAUUUAGUUAUUAUCAUGUAGGUGGAAGAUGCUGUUGUGGUUGCACUUGGUCAACACCGGAGACCUAGCAUAGUUCGGCAAUUCACAUCAGGUUUGCCCUUUUUUAAUUAGUUCAAUCAUGGAGAGCUCCUUCCGUACUAUACACUGGUGGUGCUAUAGCUUUAUCAUUGGGCUUCAGUUUAAUGAGCAAAUUGCAAUCCUCUGUCUGUGAUUUGUUUUCUUUUUUCUUUGAUCUGCCUAUAAGUCUACACUGUAGUGGCAGGGUACAUGACCUGUGAUGCUUAAUUUUUUAACAUAACUAUUUUCAAGGCUCAUCAGCGAAUUUUUUGUACGAUGUGAUUAUGAAAGGGAGAACACCUUAUCAACAAUCAACAGGGUCUUAUGCCAAAGUUGAAGAUUUGCAUGUCCUGUAAUGUGGUGUGUCCAGUUGAGACAAUACAAAUCCCUCACAUAAUCAAUGGUUUUUCCAGUAACUGUUUCACUAACACCAUACUUGUAGUUGUCCUUACAUGAAACAAAAAAGGUAUUGAUUGUAGCGUAUCAUCUGCAGGUGCAUGCACUAUAUUUUUUGCGUAGGAAUGAUUUUCCAAUGAGUCAAUUUGGAUGCAAUCACGUGUGUUUGCUUGCAUUCUUACUAAGCAACUUAAUUUUUUUUUCAGAUUAUAAAUCACCUGGCGAACCUAAAUUCUUGGAGGCAUUUGGUAAUACCUCCUUUUUUUUCUCUUGUAGAUUAUCUUCUCAACUUCCCUUUUACUGUUUGAACUUGUAUUAUAUGUACACAUUUUAACUUGAUUUUAGUUAAGCUAAACUGAAACUAUUUGACAUAUUGCAGACCUUAGCAACGAAGAGGCAGAGGAUGUUAGCUUUAAGCAUGUAAGCCUUCAGUAAUGUGAAUCAUUGUUUUUUUCCUUCCAGAUAUUACUUGUGUUAUUUACGGACUCCAUAUCACCAAAUGCAGGCAUGGCUUAUAUACUUCUGGAGAAGAGCCAAAACUCACGGUAUCGAGGAAGACAUUGCUGACGAACGGCUUCAGUUUUGGAUUGCUCGCAACGCGGUUGCACCGAAUUCUCAUGAUGCUAUAGAUGGUACGAUGCUUGUUCCCUGUUAACUACUCCCUCCGUCCCAUAAUAUAAGAUGUUAUUACAACCAUUAUGUGUACAACCAAUAUUAUGGGACUGAGGGAAUAUUAUAGUUGAAAACAUAACCAUUGGCAGAUACCUGUGGUAAAACGAUUAGUUUAACUCGAUAUUUAAUUAGAUUGCUAUUAGAAGCCAUUUCAGUAGUCACUUGCAGGGAAUCAAAAGAUUGUCGUAAUUGUAUCCGUGUGCAUAAACCAGAUAAGGUUCCUUUACAGGAGCACUUUCAGUGUUCCCUGCUGCACUAUAUGUUGUCUGUCUGUUGUAUUUUUCAAUCGAUUUCUAACCUGGUUUCAUGCAUGCCACACCCAACUUUUCUGGGUUAAUAAAAAUACGCUAUUCCCCGUGUUUACUGAAAAAUCUGAUCCUUGUGACUGCAGUGGAGCGAGGCCUGACAGAGCUCAGGAAAUUGGGCAUAGAGCAGCAGUUGUGGGAGGGCACACGUGCAGACAUCGACGAAGCUGCCUCAGCGGCGAUGGAGGACGAAUAGGGAGGGCAUGCGUCAUGAAUUCAUGAUCGAUUGUCUUAUGCUAGUGUAUCAUCCCAGUUUUGGACAAACGGGAGCUCCGGUUCCCAGCAGGUCUUCAGGCCCUUGGUAUACCCACCAUCGAAACAGUCCCCGAGCAGCAGCGAUGCUUCAGGUCCUCCGGCGUUGAGCAAUGGACCCGUCCAGAUUCCGACGGUGCUUGUGUAGCCGAUUUUAUCCCUUUGUUGAAUUAGUUCCGUGAAAUGUGUAAUUGGCUUUGCCUGGCAAGACGACGAGGAGCUCACCUCACCAAGUAAUUGUGAAUUUCUGUGAUUACCCCUCCUCCCAUGCUUACUCAGUUGUCUGGUCUCACGAACUGGACGGAUGGGAAAAAAAAGUGCAAGCUAUCUCGUGUACGUGCCUCUCUCAGAGAGGAUAAGAAAAAGAGGAGGAUGCAAGUAUGCAACGCCUGUAAUCUGUGUGGCGAAGACUUUGCCUUAUCACAAAAUGUGAAUCUUUGUUCCGUGCAUGAUGAGCUGACUUCCUCUGCGCGGAUUGAUGCGGGGUCAGAAGUUGGAGAUGGGAACGCGACUAUUUGGAGUCCAUGCCACGGAGACGGUUGGACGGCCGCGUCGUCAAAAUAAAAGAAAGAAAGGAAGAAAGCUCCCCUCCGCUCCGCUGUCUCGUUGCCCGUCCCUGUCCGCUCGUCACAUGACCUGCGAUUUCCAGGCACCCCAGGAAUGGACAGAGCCCAACCCAAACUCGUCCCUGCACGGGCGCCACAUUGCGAAACCCAGUACGUUUCCGGCCGGGGCUCUCGCCGCGUUGCGUUACUCCGUCAUGAUUACCAACGACCCUGUCUACACACCCCACGACUGCGACGGAACCUCCUCUCCGGCGUGUUUGCGUGCGUCGGAGCGGACGGACGGGCCUCCGCCGGUAUCCUGGCGCCGAGGGCAGAGCCCGCGCCGCGUCGCGUCGCUGGCUGGCUGGCUGGCUGGCCGGCGGCGCCGGGAAUUGAUCGCCCGGUCGAAUUGUCGAUCCAUCCAUCGCAUCGAUCGCCAGACCCUUCUUCUUUUCUUAGGGGGGUGGAGGGUCAAGACCACCAAGAAUGGUGUAAGGGGCUUCACGGGAAGCCUGGGACGCGCUGCCGCUCUCCGUCGACUCGCCCUUUGCCUCUCCCUAUUUAUUCCCCACUCCCUUUCAUACCUCGCGCGCGCCCCUGGGGCAUUCAUGGACGGUCUCGCAUUUGCUCAUUCCCUCGCCCACACGUUAAAGCCAUCGACCGAUCGGGCCUCGCUGUCGUACCGUCGCCGUCUCAUACGGUUGGCGUUCGCCGCCGCGUCUGCGUGCCUACUGGCCAGCCAGCCAGCCACUGCUUUCUAGUAGUACCACCAUAGCUUAGACCGCAGUUAGGUACGGCUGUGUAUCUACACUGUAUGCAUGCAUGCGUACAUGCAGGGAGGAUACAUGCAUGCACGAAGAACCAAACACCAUUUCCCAUCCGUCGAGCGCACGCAAAAUAACCGAUCAUGAGACCGCACGCAUGCCUCCUGGAUAUGCUAGCUACGACAUACAUUUAUCUGCUUCUGUUAUGUGUUAUGUGCAUCGACAUAUCUAUGUAUGUAUGUACUAUCUAUAUACUAUGUAUGAUGAUGUGCACUGCGUGGAUGUUGAUCCGAACAGUACGUACUACAGGUAUGGAUGACGGAUCACGACAGUUCUACUGCUUGUAUGCAGCUGGCAUCUCCAAGUUGCAGCUACGAGUGGCCCUAUCAAACCCAACCAAUCGAUGGUUUCGGUCUAAUCAAAUCUUGCUACCUGUAGCUGUACAAAUAAGGUGCAAGUGACCUCUGAGAUGUACAGGGAGUUUGAACAGCGGCGAUCACAUUCAUGCCCCUUCAACGGCUGCAUCGCAUUAACUAAUUCAGUGGCGCAUUAACUUCUCUAUCCGAGGGAGAUACUUAGGGUCUGUUUGGUUCAUGACUAACUUUGCCACAACUAACCUUAGGCAAAGUGUGGCUGCCACAAAAAAGUGUGGCUAACAAAAUGGACACCACAAGUGUGGCAAGAUUUGGCAAAAAAUUGAGUGUAUGACAUGUGGACCAUAUAACUAGAAAAGUGUGGCAAGCCAUAAGUGUGGCAAUGAACCAAACACAUGUCUAAGGUAUUGUGACAUGACUAAGGUUAGACGUGGCAACCUUAGGCUGGGAACCAAACAGCCCCUUAGGCCUCAGUCCUCCAUCUUGUACAAGUGCGUGUCACAUAUGCAAAGAAGUGAUGUGACAACACAAUUAAAAAGGAGAAAGAGCACCAUGAUGAUUCAAAAAAAAAACGAUGUUAAACACGUGAACCUAUGUAAAAUGGCUACUACCAACCAAUGUAUGGAGUUGUUUAAUGGUUACAAACAAUUGAAUUAGAGAAGUUUGGCAACAAAACAAAGCACCUAUGCGUUGAGGAUAUUAGUUGCUAAGUUUUUUAAUGCUAUUAGCACCACACCUAAGCAGCAAUGCAUUGAAAGAGGCCUUAUAUUUAACCCAACCCAAAACAAUAUUAAUUACAUUCUAAAAACGUAUUCAAACCGCUCCAAAAUAUGACUUUUGAUAGUAAAACUGUGCCUAAUAUUUUAUGAGGGAGAUAGUAAUCUGCACAAUUAAUGGUUUCCAAGUUUAUCUGCACAAUUAAGAAUUGUUAACCUCUAGAAUUUUUUCUUACAUGAACCCUUAUCCUACUAUACGUCUAUACUUAUCAAGAGGUAAUAAUACUAUGAGCCACUAGAUCACAAAAAGGUACAAUUUGGACGCGUCUAAACAUUUCUCACAAUAUAUAGGAAUUAAAUCAAUUUGUGACUUGGUCAUACACAACAACUAAUCGAAUUUGGCGUCUCGUACGUUCUUUAGAAAAUGACCGCCUAAGCAUGAUAAAUAUCCAAUCAAUUUGCGACUUGUCAUACGACAACAAACUGCUUUACAGAAGUGAGCUCGUAAUUUCUCUUAUGAUGCAUAAUAAGCCCUCCGAGCGUACCGAUUAAAAACGAGCUGCUUUAGCGUGUCCACUUGUUGGCUUGUGAUUUAGCUCUUUAAAUCGUAUAGCAGAGAGGUCACAUCGGUUUUUUAUUUGUUUGACAUAUGGGAAGAUAAACUCGUGGUCUCUGUAGAUAUGGUGCACACUACCAACUUGGCAACGCGUAAUUUCUCCUACGGUAGUAGCUCGCAUAGUGUCUACAUCAAAUUAGGCAGGCGAAUCGCAAGAAAAAUUGAAUUCCCUUCCUCUCGCUUUACAUUACACACAUGUGAGUCCUGGCGGGGAGGGCAAACCUUUUUGAGUUUUUCUCUCCAAUAAUUCCAUUCCAUCGUGUUGCAUCCGAUGAUGUUCUCUUUCUCAGCUCCGGCAGGGUCACAAGAUGCAUGGGAGAGCUUGUAAUUGGCAUUGUGCACAUACACACUCAUCCACACACUCGAGGGGCUGAGCAGGAACUCAAUCAUGUACCCUUCCCUCAUUCUCAAACCGUGAACAGAAUGAUCUCCCUUUUUUACCACAUUUUUUUAGAGAAGCAUGCAACCAUUGAACUAUCAUGUGAAUAAACAUAAUGCAGGCAAAGAACCCAAACUGUGGCUAAUAUAUCAGACCCGGCUGCAGUGGCGCUUAGACGAAGGCUAGAGUUGGAUUAUGUUGAAUAGGUGGAGGCCAGGAACUACUAUUUUUUUUUCGUAAUUAUGCGCCAACAACUAUAACUCUUAAGUGGCUUAAUGAUUAUCUACACGUUUGGAACACCACAUAAAUACGCCCCGUUAACCGACUUUUCGUAUCAUACACAAAAUCGAAACAAAUUUUGUUAGGCUAUUUAGCCAAAGCUAAAACAAAUUAGUUUUGCAAAGUUGGUGGGAAAGCAUUGCUUGCUUCUUUUUGUGGUUCGAAGUAAUCCUCUCUUGUUUGUUUGAAGUAAGCUUCUUUCCUUUUGUUUGUUUGAAGGUUCUCUUGUGGGCAAACAAUACAAGAAAAACCAACAGAGAGCAUUUGAUUUUCUGCACAACACCCUUCAAAGAUAACGAGAAACAAAAAGGCCAGCUCAUUCUCCAUCCAUGGCACCGCACACGUGUCGCCCUGCCAGCAGAACCUUUUUUGUAAAAACUUGCGAUGUUUAAUCUCCUCCCAUCCUUCAACCUUAGCUUCACAGAGAAACAAACCUUCAUGCCAACUCAUUUUUUGAUCCUUUCAUUAGGUGCAACAGCUUUCAUUUGCUACAGGACGGCCCAAACGUUGCGUACAAAUAUUACUCAUGGUUUUUUGUUUGGAAGAAGACAAAAGCUAUACUGUUCCCAAGUGACGCACACAAACACUCCAUGUAAGAAACCAUGGAGCAUGGCACACGGAAUUCUCAUGCUUUUCGUGUCCAGUGAAUAUUUUUGUUCUUUUCCAUAUCACAUACGUAUGUGUGCUUCGUCACUAACAAACAUAUCCAUGGCUAUGGCAUGUUUAUCACUCUUGCAAAAGAACUAUACUUUCCCACAAAAAAAAAGUGUUGUACUUGCAAAACUAAAAAUAAAUCAUACCCUAGGGUUCCGAUGGAGCGGCGGAGUUAGGGAGGAGGCAUGACCCUAGUCAUCAAGGUUCAAAUUUCGCGCCAAAAUGCGCUUACCAGGGAGGAAUUUUGCAAGCUUCGUAGAAUUAUGUUUUAUUCCUUCUAAAUGAAGAAAUGUGUUAAGGAGGCAUACUCAUCGCGGUGUGAUAUAUCGGCGACUGUUUUCACCUAGCAUCGUGACGGUCGGAUCCAACGUUGAGAUUUGCGCGACGGUUCAUCGGACGGCCAUGAUUUGCCGAAGCAUCUUCUGGAUGUAACAUUGUUUAGCUGCACACGCUGCCACUGGCCUCUGCGCCCCUAUAAGAAGGGAAGGUAGCAACCAUCCCAAGGGGGAUCGAGUUGCAGAGGGAUAAGUAGAAGUAACUGACCGUGCGAACUUGCCAAGAAUCCGUGGGAGAGGACAGAGGAGGGCGUGAUGGAGAACCCGGCGGCGGUGGUGGGGGCGGAGAAGGAGGACGAGCUGGUGGGCGGCGGCGGGGGCGACUGGGGGUACCUCACGUCGGAGGCGAUGGCGACGGCCGGGUUCCCGGCGUUCGGGUUCCCCUGCGGCACCAGGGGCGGCGUCACGCCCGCGCCGAACUCGGCGUCGCUGCUCAUGUCCAUGGAGCACGCCGCGCUGUUCGACUACAACGCCGCCUUCCCGUCGUCGUCGUCCUCCGCCGUCCCCGCGCCCCCGGCAUACCACGACUUCGGGUCCGGCGGCAACCCCUUCAGCGUCGACGCCCCGCCGUUCCUUCUCGAGGCCCCGCCGCCGCUGACGGCGGGGGCGGGAGGGCAGAAAGGGGGGUUCUUGGCGCCCCCGCUGUCGGCGUUCGGCGACGGCAUGGGGUGGGACGACGAGGACGAGCUGGAUCAGCAGAGCAUGGACGCCUCCUCCUUGGGGGUCUCCGCCUCGCUGGAGAAUGCGGCGGUCGGCGCGCCGGGGGGAGGUGGCGGCGGCGGCAACGGGAAGGGCAAGAAGAAGGGGAUGCCGGCCAAGAACCUGAUGGCGGAGCGGCGGCGCAGGAAGAAGCUCAACGACCGCCUCUACAUGCUGCGCUCCGUGGUGCCCAAGAUCAGCAAGGUGAGGAACGCUCCCCCCGUCAUGGAAAUCGAUCACCUACUUGUUCCCAUCUCUACUAUACAUAUUAUGGUUGAUCUAUUUACAUAUUUUAGUUCAUGAUGUGAGUAUAUUACUACAUGGAUUGUUGCUGCACUUGUUGGUGAAUUUUGGUGAUGAAUUCUUGAAUUGGGAUGCAUUUAUGUCACAAAAGCACACAUUUUUUGUAGUAGAUCUAUGGCACUCUAAGUGUCAUGUUGGUUCAUAUCUAGCCAUCUCCAGGAGGCAAUAGAACUCUUCCAUUAUCUUGGAAAAAAUAAAUUCUAUAGCCAUGUUUCGAGCGCGGGAAUUUUUCCUGUUUCUUGCAGGAAUUGAACUUAUUCACGUGAAAUGCAAGCGAUAAAUCUAUUCCAUCAUCUAGAAAAUCUCUACGGCCCGUUCGGAGCGCGGGAAUUUUCUUCUUGAACUUGUUCACGUGAAACGGCGAGCGACAAAAUCCUUCCAUUAUCUAAAUAUAAUCUCUAGGCUCCAUGAAAUUCAUGCAUUGCAAACCAUUUUUUUUCAUUACAAUAUGGUGGAAAUUUAGCACCAUGAAUCCCUUCUCAGCUUGGUAAAUGUUUGUUUUACUGUUCUGCCUUGGGUAGAUUUCAGUACUGAACCUACCACCCAAAUAUGUUUGUUGGGGAAUUUUUUUUUCUUUUGAUGUUUGCUUAUGGUGCAAACUGAACACAGUGGCAUGCACAAGGUGUUAUCGAAAGCCACCUGCCACUGGAUAACCCACAAAGCUCCUUUUCCCCCCUUUGUGUACUUGACAGGUGUUCUUGUUGGAGGUUUCUGUUUUUUUUGUUUGUUUCCUUGGAGAAGUCCAAUUUCUGCAUGUUUUGGCGUCUAAAGUGCAUUUCCCUGCAGUUGUUCCAUGUAAUCAGCUUACUUUUCUUUGCAAUCAUCAGGAUGGUUUUGAACAGCAACAGUUACAAUCUGCAUUUUUCCUAGUGUAUCAGUAGAACAUGAUUAUGUCAAAAUGUUACUAAUUCUAAGUUUCUAGUAAUAGUGUUUGCAUGGUUGUAUGGUAUGAGUACAUCCUGUGUUCCUAAAUAUAAGACGUGAGAGGUAGUAGUAAUUUUGAUCAGCAGCUCAUCACCAGUUUUCCUUCUUCUGUGUCAUCAGAUGGACAGGGCUUCAAUCCUCGGUGACGCAAUUGACUACCUGAAGGAGCUCCUGCAGAGGAUCAGCGAUCUUCACUCCGAGCUCGAGUCUGCUCCAAGCUCUGCUGCACUCGGUGGACCAUCGACGGCCAAUACCUUCCUGCCGUCGACGCCCACUCUGCAGCCGUUCCCCGGCCGCAUCAAGGAGGAGCGGUGCCCGCCGGCCCCGUUCCCUAGCCCCAGCGGCCAGCAGGCGACGGUCAGUCCAUUUCUCUCUGCCAUGCCAUGGAGCUUGACACUCAUAUCUGUAGUGGGUUGUGCUUUACAAUCCUUAUUAUGAAGUUAUGAUGGCGUAUCGAUGAACUGAACUCUGUUUGACUGGUUGCGUGUGUGGUUCAGGUUGAGGUGAGGAUGAGGGAGGGGCAGGCGGUGAACAUCCACAUGUUCUGCGCGCGCAGGCCGGGCAUCCUGCUGUCCACCAUGAGGGCGCUGGACAGCCUCGGCCUCGACAUCGAGCAGGCCGUCAUCAGCUGCUUCGACGGCUUCGCCAUGGACGUCUUCCGCGCCGAGGUCCGUUCGUAAUUCCCGCCCAAAAAAUCUCCUCUCUGCUCCACCGCGCAGCUGUGGCCAUGGGUACCAGUUCUGUCGGUGACAGUGUGCAUUUCGAUCAAAUCAGAUCCUACCGUUGCUUGCUGUUCACCAUGCAUCUUUAAUUACGGUCUGGUCUGAUGAUCUGUUGUGUUGUUCUGGGGUGUCCAGCAAUGCAGGGAGGGCCCUGGGCUGCUGCCGGAGGAAAUUAAGGCGGUGCUCCUGCACUGCGCCGGUCUCCAGAACGCGAUGUAGGCGAAUCCCCGGGAGACAAGACCGCCAGGAUGGUGAUUGAUGGUCAUGGGCUCUCCCUCUCUCCUGACUGUCUGGUCAGGACGAUGAUGCUAGAUGUACAAAACCUUGUGCUGUUCUUUGUUUUACCAGUUCCUUGGACGGACAAAUCUCAUGGGAUGAGGCUCGCCAUCUCCCUGCAGACAUGAGACCGAGAUCUCGGUCCAGCUUCCCUCUCUGUGGUCGUCGUGAACCUGUGUGAUGUAAUGGUUAUCUUUCCCUACCGUUGAAGACUUGAAGUGAACUAUCUCCAGUCAGUCAAUCCUCCAUGCAUGCCUCCAUGGGUGGCCAUGGCGUUCGUCGUGGUCAUGCCGCAUAUAUUUCCAAGAGAUUCAGCAUGUCAGGGACAAUGAUUGCAUGCAUGGGUGCAUGCAGCUCGUCGUCGUAGCUAGCUGCAGACGAGCUGCGGCCGGGCGGAAUUGAAUUCUCUGGCCUCUUGUGAUUACUGUUUUUUGAAUGAACUCUGGCCUCUUGUGGUUUAUGCACGCGAACUGUUGCUGUAGCCUCUGCUGGCUGGCUGGCUGGCUGAAUGGGUCAUCGUAGCCCAUGUGAGGAUUAGUUGGGGACCGGAUUGGGCGAUUGGCUGCUUCCCCGCGAUGCAUGAAUGCAGGAUUUGGAAGGAUUAUGUGUGUGUUUGUGUACGUACAUGGAUGCAUGCAGCCAUGCAGCAGGCAGGCAGAGGGCGGUUCUUGAAUUCUGCCGUGCCACAGCCCACAGGCCGCGGCUAGAUUUGCAGGCGCAGCAGUGCCGCAGUCGUGGAUUGGCUUCACAAAUCGCAGUAAGUUGAGUGAAUAUAAUAUCCUACUCCCAGUCUUGACAGGAUUUGACCGUUCGCCCUGCUACAUGCAAAACAGGAGGAGAUUGGACUUGAGUUUUCUUUUUAAAAAUCAAAUUUUGGGUCAUUCAUUAAUACUUCAUAUGUGUUUAAAUACAAGUCUUUUUAAAGAUUCCACUAGGGACUACAUAUGAAUGUAUAUGAACAUACUUUGAAGUAUCACUACAAAAAAUCUGUUAAUCGAUGACGGUCCUUGUCCGUCAUGGAUCAUCCAAAAACUGUCAUGCAUGCCCAUGCAUGACGGAUUUGAAAUCCGUCACGUAUAUCGCGUCAUAAUUUGAUAUAGCACCAUCCUUGACGGUUCUUUGCCGUCACGGAUUUGCCCCCGGCCCGUCCGGCCCAAGCUAGGAUAUGACGGAACAAUCCGUCAUCGAUUUACAUGACAUGGAUGCAACGUGACAUCUACGUGGAUCUGAUGUGGAGGCCAGCAUGGCCCAUGUAGUAACCAACCCAAUUAGGUUUUGGCCCAAUAAUUUCAAUCCAGUCCAACCAAUUAGCCCUACUUUUCACCCAACUUAUCUUCACAAUGAAUCAUAAUUUACAACAAGACAUGCAAUUCUAUUCAUUCAACAAGACAAUACAAAUUUCGAACAAUCUGGUCUGAUUUCAAAAAGCAAAAUUAAUAUCAAAACAUCAUAAGCAUAUUUACAAGGUGCUAUAAGCACAAGCAUUAAUAAAAAUCAAGUAACAUGACAUCAUUGAAACUACACUACUACAUGAUUUUAAUCUCCAACACUACACCGCCACUUCCAGGAAGCUUUUCAGACCCAAGUAAUUCCUGCUAAAAUGCCUCGGUCGAUAGUAACACGAACUAACUGCCAAACCUGCAAAGAAUCCAAAACACAAAGAAUUACACUGCAUAACAUACAACUCCCAAAUGAAUAUGUAGAAUAAUAAUAUUAGUUGUACAAAUGCGUCAAUAAUCUUUACCUACUAAUAAAGAAAAUAGUGCUUCUUCCGUACGUCAUUCAAAUUGCCCUUAAAGUUAACUAAAAUUACCCACCAAUGCCACCUACAAGUCAUAAAAAACGUUUCAAACACGAAAAUAUCCGGACUGGACCGGCCCGUGUAGUCACCUCCUAUAUUAUGGUCUGGGCGUUGGAAAAAGAUGCAGCACACCUGUUUGGGCUGGCCCAUGCGUGGGCGCCUGUUUUUUUGGUUUAAUUUUUUUAUUCGUCUUUUCAGUUUCUUUUUUUCUACUUUAAAUAAUUUAGAACUUCAAACAACUUUUCUCAAUUUUAAGAAACUGAGAAUUUCCAAAUAAAAUAUUCAAAAAAUCAUUUGUUUAGAAUUCAAAAACUACUCACGAGUUUUGAAAAAUGUUUAAACUUUGAAAAAAUGUCCAUAAAAUAAAAAAGUCAAUGACUUUAAACAAAAGUCCGUGUAAAAAUCUUAAAAACAGUUCCUGCCUCUGUUUUUAGUCUCAUUUUUUAUUUUCAUUUUUCUGUUCCAUUUUUUAGUUUAAAUAAUUUAGAACUUUGAAAAACUUUUGCAAUUUAUAAAACUGGGAAUUUUGAAAUAAAAGUUUGAAGAAAAUAUAAAAUGUUUGUGAAUUCAAAAAAUGCUCGGGAUUUUUGUAAAAAUAUUCGCAUAUUCAGGAAAAUGUUCAUAAUUUUGAGAACAAUUUUGGUGAAAACAAUAAAAGUCCAGGAUUUUGAAAAAAGGUUUGUGUGUUAUUUUUUGAGUGCAAUUGAAAAAAUGUUUGCUAAUUCAAAAAAUGUUCAUGCAUUUCAAGAAAUGUCCUAAAAUUUUAAAGACAUAAUAUAAUCAGCAUUAUUGGAAAUUUUAUUAUUUUUCUCCCGUUGCAACGCACGGAUCCUUUUGCUAAUAAUAAUCUCUCCCUAAUAAUAAAGCAAAUAGGGUUUCUGGUCGUCCGUCAUGGAAAUUACCCCUAGAGUUUGCAUAAAUUACCCACCAUGCCAGCGGUAAGUAAUAGAAAACGUUUUACAAAGCAAAAAAUCUUGGACUGGGCUGACCCAUGUAACAACCUCUUACAUUACGCUCUGCGCGCUGGAAGAAUAUCUAGCACACCAUAUGGGCCGGCCCAUGCAUAGGCGUCUGCUUUUAGUUCCUUUUAUUUAUUUAUUUUCAGUUCCAAUUUUUUUUUUAUUUUAAAUAAUUUACAACUUCAAAUAAUCUUUAAAAUUUUAAUAAACUGAAAAUUAUAAAUCAACAUAUUUAAAAAAUAAAAUGUUUGUAACUUCAAAAACUGCCCGGAGUUUUGUAUAAAAUGCUCGCAUAUACAAUAAAAUGUUGCAAUUUUAGAAACAUAUUUGUACAAUAAGAAAAGUCCAUUAUUUCAAAUACAAUUCCAUGUACUCAAAAUUAUUAAAGGCAUUUAACAAAAUGCUUUCUAAUUGAAAAUAUAUUAAUGCAUUUAAGAAAUGUCCUAAAAUUUUAAAAAUAGCUAAUGCCUGUUUUGAUAGUUUAUUCUUUUUAUUUAAAAUUUUCCAUUCCAUUUUUGUUUAUUUCUAAUUUAAAUAAUUUAGAAUUACAUAAACUUUUGCAUAUUAAAAAAUAGGAAUUUUGAAAUAAAAUGCUGACGAAAACAUAAUGUCCAUGAAUUUAAUAAAUAUAUUACUGAUUUAUAACAAUGUCCAUGAAUUUAAUAAAGAUAUUACUGACUUAUAACAAUGCCCAUGAAUUUAAUAAAUAUAUUACUGAUUUAUAAAAAUGUUAGUUUAUUUAGAAAAACUUCAUGCGUUUCAAAAAAUGUUUGUGAAUUUAAAAUAAAAUCCUCCAACUUAAAAAAUUAUGUUCGCCUUUUCUUGAAUUGGCCGCCAAUUCAAAAGAAAAUAUUUAAACCUGUUCGAAAUAUAAAAAAUAUUCGCGAUUUUUAAUAAAUGUUUGUAAAUUGUAAAAAAUGUUCUGGAUUUUAAAAUUGUUCCCAUAUUUGUAAAAUUGUUCACGAAAGAUCUAAUGUAUGUAGUUAAACAUUAAUGCUUCUAAGUCUUUGUCACAAUAUACUAUGUGAAUUUUGAAGAAUUAACUGUUGGAUGGAUCCAAUUAUUAUUGUAUGUUUUCUAAUUUUUUUUAUUGAAAUUCAGAAUAAAUCUUUGAGUUACCAAGAUUUUUGACAACCAUGAUAUAUAUUUUUUGAAAAUGUAAAGAUUGUUUCAACUUGUGAAUAAAUUUAAAAGAAGAAACAUUUUCUUGCAUUUGUGCAUAAAAUUUCAAAAUCAAGCGAAGAUAUGCGAACAUAAUGUGGUCACCAUCAUUGAAGAUUAUGUUUUUUUUUCGUGGCAACGCACGGGCCAUUUUGCUAGUAAUACCAAAAAGUAGAGAAUAUGCUAGUGAUGACACUGAAAUUUUAAAACUGCACAAAUGCACUAUGUAGCAGAUCGAACACUACUAAAAUCUAUUAGUAAUCUUAAAGAAACACACAGAACCUUCACUCCAUCGCUCCUUGAGAUUGCAUUUCUGUGUAUACAUCAGGAAAUAUUUAAAUUGAAUAAGACAUCAAGGCACUACUGAAGUUUGUUUCAAGGGUUUCACAUAAUCUAGCUUCUUGGCUUCUAGCAUCACCAUUGCUUGCUACCAUAAUCUAGCUUGCAGGCCCAAAGAAGAAGGGAAAUAGAAGGCAGUGACAAAGUUCAUUUCAAGGGUUUCACUUUGUGUCACCUAUUUGAACAAAGUAGAAGCAAUCAUAUUUUAUAUACGCCACCUCCUGAUUAUGGUCUAUACAAUAAAAUGAAUCUAAGGAAAAGUACUAUAAUAAAGUGUACAUUGACAAUGAAGCAACUAAACUUUUAUUAACAACACAUUAGUUAAUGAUAUGCAAAAAGAAGUAUUCACAUGAUUUUCUAAGUGAAUCAGUUGCUUCUUGUAAAGAGCCCUCACCUGAAAGUAUAAAAAGUAAAUAAUUCAAGGGAAUAUACAUAGAUAUCAUUUUUUUUUCUUUAUUUCUGGUUGUAUACAUAUCAUUUCAGUUUAACUUAGCACAUCAUUGAUUAAUCUUAAUACCAAAAAGUAGAGAAUAUGCUAGUAAUAACACUAAAAUUUUGAGGCUGCACAAAUGCACUAUGGAGCAGAUCGAACACUACUAAAUCUGAAGCAAAGAUAAUAUAACAAUCUAUUAGUAAUCUUAAAGAAACACACAUAACCUUCACUUCCAUCGCUCCUUGAGAUUGCAUUCCUCUGUACACAGAGGGAAGCAUUGAUUUGGCGCAACAGUCAUGGAGCAAGACUACAUCAGCUAGCACAAGAACAACAGAUUUAAUUUAUUUCAUGGCUUAAGCAACCUGAAAAACUCAAUAACACAUUUACACAAAAGCUUAUAAAUCUCAUAAUACAUUUUAAUUAUAUUCCUUCUUCGGUGUCAAAUGAUUGAAUAACUAACCGUAAAUAGUUCACAUAAAUGUAUGUUAGUAGCAGCAGACUAGCACACAAGCCCACCCUACACAGUAUGACACACAUGAUUAGUUGGUGGAUCGAGGAAGGAAUUUCAUGCCAUGAACACACGCUAGCCGAUCGGGUAACAGUUUCCUAAUCAGAAUUUUGGCAACCUGGGAUCUAAUGUUAACAUCAUUCAUGAAUCAUACAGCACAUCCUAAAUACUAUUGUGCAUUCCUGACACCUGACCCUGUUCGGAAAAAACCAACCACCGAAUCACAGUCGAAUAGAUGGCUUGGAGCAACCCUAAAUCCUGGCGGCUACGCAUCCAAAUCUAGCGCCUAUCUCACGAGGAGCGGAUGAGGCGGCGCAUCGAACCGUAUGUACCUAGGUCGACGUCGCAGCGGGCGGAGGAGCAGUCCGAGUGCUGCGCGACGAGGUCGGCAAAGGAGGCGCGACCGGCGAGGAUCUGGGCCCGGAGCUCGCCGAGGCACGCGGCCGCGUCGGCGCGCGUGGUGGCGGAAAUGACCUGGCCCUCGGGGCCUUUCCAGAAAGCCUUGCGCCGGGACCCCUCGUGCUUGAUCAGGAUGUGCGACGCGCGCACUAUCUCCUCCCCCGACGCAGACGGCGCCGACGCCAUCUCUUCCUCCCUUGCUCCGCAGCUCGCGGCUCCGAUCGCUUCAGCGGUAGGGAGGUGGAGCAGGAGAUGGUUGGGACAGCGGCGAGGGAGAUCGACGGGGAGGCAGCGGCGUGGGAGAUCUAGGGGGCGGCAGCCACGCAUGUAGGGAGGUUGGGCAUGCAUCUAAAUCGGGAGGAGAGGGGGAGAGGAGUCAGCGGCUGUGGAUGGUUGUGGAUAUGGUUUUCGUGGUCGUGGGUUGAGACGUGAGGCUGUGGCAUGUGAAUUAAAUGGGUUGGCUCCGAAUUUUUUUAAUUCCCCGCGUCGAUGACUUGAAAGUUUUCUCCGCGCACUUCCUGUUUCGGACUUUGCCGCUAUUAUUUUUUCCUUCGCACGCUUCCAGUUUCAGGCUUUGCCGCAUGGGUGACCAGAUGGUGUAUAUAGUAUGGAAAGCUAAACCCGCUUGGGCCCGGAUGAUCUAUCCGUGACGGUUUUCGUGACAGUACGUCGACAUCUGUCAUUAAGGGGCUGCCGUUUUAGGGCCCAAUCACAUCCUGCUGGUCGUUGACUGUUUUCAUGACGGAUUUCCGGAACGUCAUCAGGAAUCCGUCACGGAUUAACAGAUUUCUUGUAAUGUAUAGAUUUACUUAUUUUGCUUCGUAUGUAGUCGACUAGAAUAUAACAAUAGAUCCAGACGACCUUCUUCCCCUGAUAAACCGCUCGAUCCUCUUUCUUUUCAGUCUCACACGUGGAAAAAAAAUGAGGCGUUACAAGUAAUCAAACACCCGGCCAAUUGGUCGAGCACACGGCGCGCCACCGGCUGAGCUAACUUUCUGAUCUGUUUCUUUACACAAAUUACCUGAUUUUAUACAUUACUAAAUGAUUGAAAAAGAAAAACAACCGUGCCUAUCUUGACAAGUGGACAAAACCAUUUGAUACGAGUUUUUUUAAGGACUGAUGCAUCAUGCUAUACUUCUCAUUUUUUAUAGUGAUGAACAUUUUCUAGUGAAAUAAAUGUCCAACUCCUUACAAAAUUCGAACAAUGAUCUUCUUUUUCAUGUGUCACAAAAAAUAAGAGUUUGUUUUGAAACAUCCCUGAUAUUUUUUUUAUAAUGAGCCAAAUAAUUUACGCACUAGUAGCUUACGUACAAACAUCUUGAUAGUUUUUUUACCUGGGAAAAAUUGUUGCAAAUAUUCUCGGUAACUUUUGUGCAAAUACAUGAUAAUACACCCACAUCGUGGCUGAUAAUUCAUGCGGAAACAUCAUGAUGACUUUUGACCCCCGAAAAAGUUGUUGGCAAACAUACACCGGCAAUUUAUAUGAAAAAUUAACAUGAUAAUAUACGAACAAUAAAGCUGGUAAUUUACUUAGCCGAAGUGUGAUAAUUUUUUGACCAGGGGGAAAAAGUUGUUGAACCGCCCUUCCUGGUAACUCAUGUAUACUAGCAUGGUAAUCUACGCACAUCGGCGUUGAUAACUUACUUAGCUGAGACACGGUAACUAUUUGUGACUUGCGGAGCCGGGGAGGAGGAGGGGGUUGUUGAAACUUACAUGGUAAAUUAUGUAUAAAAAGCAUGGUAACAUGCACACAAUCAAUCUGAUAACUUACCCACAAACAACAUGGUAACUUUGAUCCGGGUCGGUUGUUGGAAAACAUACCCUCGAUAACUUUUGUGUUAAUAGCAAGGUGCUACACGCACAGUAUACGCACAAUAGAGCUGAUAAUUCACUUAGCCGAAAUGUGGUAACUUUCUUUACUAGGGGAAAAAGUUGUUGAACCUCCCUUCCCUGAUAAUCAAGUCUAUUCGCAUGGUAAUCUACACACAUCGGCAUUGAUAACUUACUUAGCCGAGACAUGUUAACUAUUUUUAACUUGUCGAGGAGGGGGGGGGGGGUUCAAAAAUUACAUGGUAAAUUAUGUAUAAAAAGGAUGGUAACAUGCGCACAACCAAAAUGAUAACUCACCACAAACAACAUGGUAACUUUGAUCCAGGCUGGGUUGUUUGAAAACAUACCCCCGAUAACUUUCCUGUUAAUAGCAAGGUGAUAUACACACAAUAUACAUUAUAACUGCCCCAUGCUUUAACCUUCUUGUACUAUAGGUACCAUCCUUAUUUAUCAUGUUGCUCGUACCAAAUUCAUCACACUCGUCAUGCCAAAGUUACCAAGCCAAUCUUUAUUAUUGUUUCUGAUAUGGCAUAAUUAAGAAAGGUUCAAAUAACAUUGCUUAUCUACAGUAGACAAAAACAAAAGGUGGCUUAGUUGGUUAUUAGGCUCAAUAGCAAUUGCAAAUACCUUGGUUUGAAUCCUCUUUCAAGCACUUUUAUUUUCUUUUCAUAUUAUGCAGCAAAAAGCCAGAAAAAACCACUAGCGAUUCACUGCGGUUUUGAGAGAAGGAAAAAAAUCAAUGCAAGCAAGCAUGGAAUGACAGCGAUCAGGUAGGAGCAAGUCAUGCAGACCUGUUGCUAAAAUCAGGACGUCCUCAAGUUAGCACAGUCCUAUUCUGCAUGCAAUCGGGAAUACAGUGUUGGAAGGCUAAGUAAGCAACACGCUUGCUCACCCUUGCUAACAAAUGAGUAUUUUUUAAGAAAUGGAAUAUAUUAAUAUCGCGAAGAGAUCAAUUAUAUUUGGUCUCUGUACCAACAAGAUGUCCAGAGACAUCAAGAAUACACACAACAACAAAAAAGAAGAAGAAAAAAGCCAUGUCAUGGCGAUCGGUCACUAGCAACAACAACCUUCUAACCACCAUCAAAGACAACACCCGGCUUACAAAAGAGAUUCUCCAAAAGCAAUGCCUCUAAGAAGAAAACAAUGCACAAGCGUUGUCAUUGCCUUAUAGAAGAUCUUGAGUUUUCACCCUCGAGAAAGUUUGAGUUCACCGAAAAAAAUGCCUUCAACAAGGUCAUUGCGAGGUACAACCAAUGAAGGCCAGAACUUGGGUUUUCACCCUAGGAAUCGAAACUCGGUACUCGAGGAGCACCAUCAAAAUUGCAGACCUCCAAUGCUUCCGCCCCCGCUUGCAGAUGCCACUGUUGCAAUCCACCAAACACCUAGCACACAAUCUUCACCGCAUCGAGCACACUUUUCGUCAACGCUUCAAGACCUCCAAUCACAGCCGCCAUGACUUUGUCCACCUCUAUCAAUGCCUUGAGAAUCUUGACUUAGACAUGUCCCAUGACUUCGGUAAUAAAGCGAAGCUUCACGUCGCAUCCUUUUGAAGCCGUGCUAGCUGAUAAUAUAAGCACGUGCGACCAAAGCCUCUUCAAUCUAGAUAUGCACGAGCGACAUUCGCCAAUCUGUUUAGAUCUCUCGCGGGUAAGACUGAUGGGGAACGUUGGAUGGGAAACAAAAAAAAAUACCUACGCACAUACAAGAUCUAUCCAUGAUGAUGACCAUCUACGAGAGGAGAGAUCAGAUCCACAUACCCUUGUAGAUCGCUAAGCGGGAAGCGUUAAGAAACGCACUGGAUGUAGUCGAACGUCUUCGCAAUCCAAAUCACAAGACGUCCCUUGAUCCAAUCACGAUCUAGCGCCGAACGGACGACACCUCCGCGUUCAGCACAUGUGCACCAAUAGCGGGACCUGGAUGCACAUAUUGAUUCCUACAUAUUCUACAAAGAUCUUUAUUGGUCGAACCACGAUGUCACGGAUUGAAUUAAUCCCGUAUGUCGUUCCCUUUGUCCGUGGGUAUGUUACUUGCCCGAGAUUCGAUCAUCGGUAUCUCUAUACCUAGUUCAAUCUCGUUACCGAAAAAUCUCUUUACUCGUUCCGUAAUACAAGAUCCCGUGACUAACUCUUUAGUCACAUUACUUGCAAGCUUGUUGUGAUGUUGUAUUACCGAGUGGGCCGUAGAGAUACAUCUCCGUCAUACGGAGUGACAAAUCCCGCUCUCGAUCCAUGCCAACCCAACAGACACCCUCGGACAUACCUCUAGAGCACCUUUAUAGUCACCCAGUUAUGUUGUGAUGUUUGAUACACACAAGGUUUUCCUCCGGUGUCCGGGAGUUGCAUGAUCCCAUGGUCAUAGGAACAAAUACUUGACAUGCAUAAAACAAUAGCAAUGAACUAACACGAUCAUAUGCUACGUUCAUAGUUUGGGUCUUGUCCAUCACGUCAUUCUCUUAAUGAUGUGAUCCUGUUAUCAAAUGACAACUCAUGUCUAUGGCCAGUAAACCUUGACCAUCUUUGAUCAACGAGUCAGGCAUUUAGAGGCUCACUAGGGACAGUGUGUUGUCUAUGUAUCCACAUAUGUAUUUAGUUUCCAAUCAAUACAAUUCUAAGCAUGUAUAUUAAACGAUUAUCAUGAACAAGGAAAUAUAAUAAUAACUAUUUUAUUAUUGCCUCUAGGGCAAAUUUCCAAUAGUAUCCCACUUGCACUAGAGUCAAUAAUCUAGCUCACAUCACUAUGCGAUUUACAUUGUAAUGAAUCUAACACCCAUACAGUUCUGGUGUUGAUCAUGUUUCGCUCGUGGAAGAGGCUUAGUCAAUGGGUCUUCAACAUUCAGAUCCAUGUGAACUUUGAAAAUACUUAUGUCCUCCUCCACUACAAGGAUACCCCUUGUAAAGCAACACAUAAUUUACAAGAUUUUAACUAUACAUUGCAAAAUUUAUUAUAGAUACGGAUAUAAGCGUUGUAGCAUAUACAUUGCAGGUUUGUUGUGUCCCUACAGUAGUAUACAAAUGAAAAAAAACCAGAUGAAUUGAGAGAGAGAGAGAGAGAGAGGGAGAUGCAACGAAAAAGAAAAAAGAGCCCACGACUUCCCCUCUGCUCUCAUGGAUCGGCACCACCUCUUCCUCCUCC